GUGUGUUUUUUUGUUUGUUUGUUUUGGUUUUGGUUGCUUUUUUUUUUUCUUAUGUUUAAAUAGAAUUUCACUGGACUCAUUGCAGAAUGUCUCUGCCUUCAUUGUACUGAGGAGCCCAGGGCUGAACCAAGAAGUGCAGAUGUGACCUCAGCAUUGCAGAGGAGAGAGGGAUCACCUCCCUUGGCUUGCUGGAGAUGCACUUCCUAAUGUAGCUUUUGCUGUAAGGGCACAUUGCUGGCUUAUGUUCUCAUUGUUGCCCUCCAGGUUUCCCAUGGGAGUUCCCUGCAGAGCUGCUUUCCCGCCCCCACCCUGUUCUGGGACUUGUGGUCGUUCUUGCCCAGGGGCAGGGCUUUGCAGUUCUCUUUGUCAGACUUUAUGAAGUUGCUGUUUGUCUGCUGUAAGUCUUUAUAAGGAACCUCUCAGGACAGAGUUAGAGGGAUGGAGAUUUAAUUACCUCACGUUCCCGCCAAAUCCACACAUCAUUACUUAUCUUUUUUAGUCUUGUGACCUUCACAUCCCUAACAUCAUGUCAUCAUCCUGAUCUCUCAGUGGAUCUGAAAUGAAAACAAAAGCAAUCCAUAAAGUUAUUGGCUUUGUAAGUUUAAGCAGAAAAAGGAAGGACAGGUAUGUAAUUCUCCAUGUUAUUAUCUGAGUCAUAAACAUUUUUUAUUUAUAGCAUUUCUGCUUUAACGACAGGAAUCCUGCCCUAAAAUAAAUGUGUACGAAUUGAGGCCUCUUGGUGAUGAAUGAAUCACUUAUUUUCUUUAUAUUUAUCCAGCUGAAAUUCAUAGUUUCCUCUGUGUACUAUGCUUUUUCUGCAGGGUUCUUUCCAACAGGGCCUCACCAAUUCUGUCCUCAGCUCACCUAUGGUGAGAAAGCAGGGCAUCUCUGUUGUUCCCCGAGUGUAUAAAAUAGCUGCUAUGAAAUCCUACAGACUGGAAUCUCCAUCAGAUUGCCGGAUGUCCUGAAUAUCUGGAAUUUUGUCUUUGCCUGUCUCACUUUACAUUAUUUUGGGGAUAAAUGAGACUUAGAGCCUCAUGGAGCAGACUGAUGGGGCUGUUGGUCCCUUCCUUUGUCUUUGCCAUCCACGUUGCAUCAAGUCACAGAAUCGCAGGGGUUGGAAGGGACCUCAAGAGAUCAUUGAGUCCAAUCCCCCUGCUAAAGCAGGCUCCCUGCAGUGGGUCGCACAGGGAGGUGUCCAGAUGCCCAGCAUGGAUUUACUUCCAUCUGUGAAGAUUUCUUAGUUGGAGCCCUUCCUUGGAUCCACUCUUUCUGGUCCAUAACGGAAAGCUCGGACAGUGCAUAAAGGGCUUUGGUAGCAUAAUCCUGGUUUCUGGGGACUCAGUACUGAAAAUGCCUUUGUGCUGGAGGCAGCCUGCAUUUAGAGAUCAGGAGGACCCAGGCCUCUUCAUUCCUCUGUACUGAGAAACUUAAGCUCAUUCAAAACUCUCAGGUCUCCUUUCUUUGCUCAAACUCAGUGAGUAUGUUUUAGGAGGUAAACGUAGUGUACUUACUUUUUUAACAUAUUUGGUUUGUAGUCUUUCUUUGUGCCCCUGGUGUUGCCUUGCUGCCAGCAGUGCCAUGUGUCUCACUGCUGAGAAGCAUCAGUGUAGAGGGACGGAGAAUGGGCUUGUGCUGAAGUUACUCGGCUGAGGUUCUUCCAAGAAUGAAAAAUGGUCUUUGAACAAAUGUGGUUUCAUCUGACCUUCAAUAAAUCUGACUUCAGUAUUCCUCUUGCAAAUUAGGUACUGUCAGGAUAAAUUUAUUGGCUAUUGGGUGGGAGGAGGGAAAACAUAAUUAUUGAAGGAAAAAAAACCACCAACAAAUCCUGCUUCAUAGACAGCUCAUUUAUUCUAAGUAGGUCAGAGUUGUUACAGAAAACAGCAGCAGUCACACUAGCGAUAGGCUUCAGCUUGUUGAGUACCUCCUGUUAGCAUUUAAGACAUCCCUCCCAUUUUAAUUUUCAGUGUUGGAGGCAAGUGACUCACAAAGAACACUUUUUUCCCUUCCAGGCUGACACGCUGACCCAGUGUCAGGCAGCAGAAGUGGGGAUCCAGGUUCUCCCGUUGCUGAAGGAAGUGCCCAGGAACGAGGCCGCGGGAUUAAGGAGGAAGCGGAGGUUUUAAUGAAGCAGACUCCAUUCUUUGGAGGGGUGAAAGGAGAGCAGCUGGGAUACAAACUGGAAGCACAGCCCUUGGUGAAGAAGCUGAGAAAUCAGUUUGCUUUGGAAAAAAACCAUUGCUGCAACUCCAUGCGAAGUUGGUGGUUUUUGGAUUCCGUUUAAAAGCGCACACUGAUCACUUUGCCUCCAACCUUUCCUUGAGAGCCAACAUGAGGAAGGACACAAAAAGCAGAGGCGGUGUUUCUGUGCAGUACCCUGAGGCCACAAAGGUGUUAUUGCCCCGUGUGAGGGCGGGAUCACUGCACAGUUAAAGGCUGCCAGCAUCCAUGUAGGAAGGGACGCAUUUCCCACAUUGUGCUCAUUUCCCUUGAAGUCUAGGAUAUGUUUGGGCAAUAAGGGGAUUAGGAAAUCUUGACGUAUUAGGAAGGCCAGCCUCUGGGUUCAAGUUGAAUAGAGGGCACCGUGCUUGUGGGGGAAGCUCUUGCAUGGGGUGCCUGUCCCUCCUGGCUGGGGGAAGCAGUGGGGUGCUAUCUCUGCUGUUCUGUGAAGGAACAGAGCUGCAGGCUUCCUGUUAACAGCAAUUAUCAGAUGCUUGGGUUGGAAACAUCUUUUGCCAUGUGACAGCAGAUUAAUUCUGCUUUCCAAAGGCCUCAUCUUAAAUCCAGCAAGGAGAGAGGAUCAUCAGUGCAGUGGGUCCUUUAGAGUCAUUGAACGCAUUACGCUUGUUUUGGACUGAGAUAGGGUGGGAGCUGAGUGUUGGAGUGCAAGGACACCCUGUUUGACAGAUGAGUACGCCAUGGGUGCAUGCUGUUUUCUCUGUAGGCUCCCUUUCUGCUGAGUGGGAUAAAUUUAACCUCACUGUGUAGCCUCUGCUGUCACCUUUUCACAGGAUCCUUCUGAGUCACUCCAGGUUUCUCCGAUCUGAUACGGGUUAGACACAGGAGGCAAUUGCUGUCAGUAUUUUGUUGAAGUCGGAGUCCUUUCAGACCUCCUGCCACAACUAAUUGUCCCAACAGGAGCAAUUGUCUUCACCAGGAAGUCUGUUAUGUUCAUUGGGCAAAAAUCUCUUUGUUUCAGCUGCACCCUUCAGGCCAGAUAACCGCAGAGGGCUUGAGAUGGCCUUGCCUUUAGAACCAGGAGGCAGUGGAGGCUGUGGCAGCCUGAGGAGGUGGCUCACACAGACCAGGUCCACCAGCAAAGUGGGCUGAUGAAUGCUGCACCGCUUUGUUCCUUAGCAAGUGGUGUGACACCUUUUCUUCCUCCUGAUAGCGAGACAGCUGUGGUUUUCAGAGGCACCUGGGGAACAAGAUUUCCUGAACGUUUUUUUUAGCUCUGAUUUUCUUCUGCUUUUACUAUAGAAGGCAGACUUCAUGAACUACAGCGCCUCCUGUGUCCCAUCUUUUAUGUGCAGCUUGGUUUUGGAGAUUGGAAGGUUUUUCAUGCAUUGAUUUUGUGCCCAUCAUGGAUAUGUUUUAAAAAUACUCUUCUUUUGGGGGGGAAAAAAAAAAAAGCCCCUACUUCUGAUGGAGAAAUUUUGAUGGGGAUGUUGGGAAAUAAAU
Long non-coding RNA from Numida meleagris (helmeted guineafowl), 3681 nucleotides. RefSeq lists it as uncharacterized. The record is from RefSeq and is a predicted model, not a curated record. The transcript has 2 exons. NCBI's taxonomy places the organism in Eukaryota, Metazoa, Chordata, Aves, Galliformes, Numididae.